This 1023-nucleotide ribosomal RNA is filed under the name Anabaena sp. VRES L2_6. Its description in RNAcentral is "bacterial SSU rRNA". It matches the Rfam family "Bacterial small subunit ribosomal RNA", at positions 359 to 1397 of the family's 1533-position model. The record is from RNAcentral. Lineage: Bacteria; Bacillati; Cyanobacteriota; Cyanophyceae; Nostocales; Nostocaceae.
GGAUUUUCCGCAAUGGGCGAAAGCCUGACGGAGCAAUACCGCGUGAGGGAGGAAGGCUCUUGGGUCGUAAACCUCUUUUCUCAGGGAAGAAAAAAAUGACGGUACYUGAGGAAUAAGCAUCGGCUAACUCCGUGCCAGCAGCCGCGGUAAUACGGAGGAUGCAAGCGUUAUCCGGAAUGAUUGGGCGUAAAGGGUCCGCAGGUGGUACUGUAAGUCUGCUGUUAAAGAGCAAGGCUCAACCUUGUAAGAGCGGUGGAAACUACAGAACUAGAGUGCGUUCGGGGCAGAAGGAAUUCCUGGUGUAGCGGUGAAAUGCGUAGAUAUCAGGAAGAACACCGGUGGCGAAAGCGUUCUGCUAGGCCGCAACUGACACUGAGGGACGAAAGCUAGGGGAGCGAAUGGGAUUAGAUACCCCAGUAGUCCUAGCCGUAAACGAUGGAUACUAGGCGUGGCUUGUAUCGACCCGAGCCGUGCCGGAGCUAACGCGUUAAGUAUCCCGCCUGGGGAGUACGCACGCAAGUGUGAAACUCAAAGGAAUUGACGGGGGCCCGCACAAGCGGUGGAGUAUGUGGUUUAAUUCGAUGCAACGCGAAGAACCUUACCAAGACUUGACAUCCUGCGAAUCCUGCUGAAAGGUGGGAGUGCCUUCGGGAGCGCAGAGACAGGUGGUGCAUGGCUGUCGUCAGCUCGUGUCGUGAGAUGUUGGGUUAAGUCCCGCAACGAGCGCAACCCUCGUUUUUAGUUGCCAGCAUUAAGUUGGGCACUCUAGAGAGACUGCCGGUGACAAACCGGAGGAAGGUGAGGAUGACGUCAAGUCAGCAUGCCCCUUACGUCUUGGGCUACACACGUACUACAAUGCUACGGACAAAGGGCAGCAAGCUAGCGAUAGCAAGCAAAUCUCAUAAACCGUAGCUCAGUUCAGAUCGAAGGCUGCAACUCGCCUUCGUGAAGGAGGAAUCGCUAGUAAUUGCAGGUCAGCAUACUGCAGUGAAUUCGUUCCCGGGCCUUGUACACACCGCCCGU